GGGGCCCGCACAAGCGGUGGAGCAUGUGGUUUAAUUCGAUGCAACGCGAAGAACCUUACCUGGCCUUGACAUCCACGGAAUUCGGCAGAGAUGCCUUAGUGCCUUCGGGAACCGUGAGACAGGUGCUGCAUGGCUGUCGUCAGCUCGUGUUGUGAAAUGUUGGGUUAAGUCCCGCAACGAGCGCAACCCUUAUCCUUUGUUGCCAGCGAGUAAUGUCGGGAACUCAAAGGAGACUGCCGGUGACAAACCGGAGGAAGGUGGGGAUGACGUCAAGUCAUCAUGGCCCUUACGGCCAGGGCUACACACGUGCUACAAUGGCGCAUACAAAGAGAAGCGAACUCGCGAGAGCAAGCGGACCUCACAAAGUGCGUCGUAGUCCGGAUCGGAGUCUGCAACUCGACUCCGUGAAGUCGGAAUCGCUAGUAAUCGUAGAUCAGAAUGCUACGGUGAAUACGUUCCCGGGCCUUGUACACACCGCCCGUCACACCAUGGGAGUGGGUUGCAAAAGAAGUAGGUAGCUUAACCUUCGGGAGGGCGCUUACCACUUUGUGAUUCAUGACUGGGGUGAAGUCGUAACAAGGUA
Molecule: ribosomal RNA, 583 nt
Filed under: uncultured deep-sea bacterium
Lineage: Bacteria
Description: bacterial SSU rRNA
Rfam family: Bacterial small subunit ribosomal RNA
Source: RNAcentral